GAUUCCCCUAGUAGCGGCGAGCGAAGCGGGAAGAGCUCAAAUUUAUAAUCUGGCACCUUCGGUGUCCGAGUUGUAAUCUCUAGAAGUGUUUUCCGCGUUGGACCGCACACAAGUCUGUUGGAAUACAGCGGCAUAGUGGUGAAACCCCCGUAUAUGGUGCGGACGCCCAGCGCUUUGUGAUACACUUUCAAUGAGUCGAGUUGUUUGGGAAUGCAGCUCAAAUUGGGUGGUAAAUUCCAUCUAAAGCUAAAUAUUGGCGAGAGACCGAUAGCGAACAAGUACCGUGAGGGAAAGAUGAAAAGCACUUUGGAAAGAGAGUUAACAGUACGUGAAAUUGUUGGAAGGGAAACGCUUGAAGUCAGACUUGCUUGCCGGAGCUUGCUUCGGUUUGCAGGCCAGCAUCAGUUUUCCGGGGUGGAUAAUGACGGUUUGAAGGUAGCAGUCUCGGCUGUGUUAUAGCUUUCCGUUGGAUACAUCCUGGGGGACUGAGGAACGCAGCGUGCUUUUUGCGAAAGACUCGUCUUUUUCACGCUUAGGAUGCUGGUGGAAUGGCUUUAAACGACCCGUCUUGAAACACGGACCAAGGAGUCUAACAUGCUCGCGAGUAUUUGGGUGUCAAACCCGGAUGCGCAAUGAAAGUGAAUGUAGGUGGGAACCGCAAGGUGCACCAUCGACCGAUCUGGAUUUUUUAAGAUGGAUUUGAGUAAGAGCGCGUAUGUUGGGACCCGAAAGAUGGUGAACUAUGCCUGAAUAGGGCGAAGCCAGAGGAAACUCUGGUGGAGGCUCGUAGCGGUUCUGACGUGCAAAUCGAUCGUCAAAUUUGGGUAUAGGGGCGAAAGACUAAUCGAACCAUCUAGUAGCUGGUUCCUGCCGAAGUUUCCCUCAGGAUAGCAGAAACUCACAUCAGUUCUAUGAGGUAAAGCGAAUGAUUAGAGGCCUUGGGGUUGAAACAACCUUAACCUAUUCUCAAACUUUAAAUAUGUAGGAAGUCCUUGCUACUUAAUUGAGCGAGGACA
RNAcentral lists this ribosomal RNA (1016 nucleotides) under Rhodotorula babjevae. RNAcentral's name for it is "partial large subunit ribosomal RNA". It matches the Rfam family "Eukaryotic large subunit ribosomal RNA", at positions 73 to 1107 of the family's 3401-position model. The record is from RNAcentral. Lineage: Eukaryota; Fungi; Basidiomycota; Microbotryomycetes; Sporidiobolales; Sporidiobolaceae.